UCGCGGUCCACCUCCCACCCGUGUCUAUUUGAAUACCGUGUUGCUUUGGCGGGCCCACCGGGUCUCCCGGUCGCCGGAGGACGCCUCUGUCCUCGGGCCCGUGCCCGCCGGAGCGCCCCUUGAACCCUUUGUGAAGAUGGACUGUCUGAGCAACGUUGAUAAUAAUCAAAACUUUCAACAAUGGAUCUCUUGGUUCCGGCAUCGAUGAAGAACGCAGCGAAAUGCGAUAAGUAAUGUGAAUUGCAGAAUUCCGUGAAUCAUCGAAUCUUUGAACGCACAUUGCGCUCCCUGGCAUUCCGGGGAGCAUGCCUGUCCGAGCGUCAUUUCUGCCCUCAAGCACGGCUUGUGUGUUGGGCGCUGGUCCCUCCGAAACGGGGGGACCUGCCCGAAAGGCAGCGGCGACGUUCCCGCCCAGGUCCUCGAGCGUAUGGGGCUUUGUCACUCGCUCGGGAUGGACCCGCGGAGCGUUGGUCACCUCACGAAUUUAUUCCACGGUUGACCUCGGAUCAGGUAGGAGUUACCCGCUGAACUUAAGCAUAUCAUAG
Molecule: ribosomal RNA, 545 nt
Filed under: fungal sp. AM2013
Lineage: Eukaryota; Fungi
Description: eukaryotic LSU rRNA
Rfam family: 5.8S ribosomal RNA (bases 170-323)
Source: RNAcentral